UACAGAGGUCCCGAGCGUUGUUCGGAUUCACUGGGCGUAAAGGGUGCGUAGGUGGCAUAGAAAGUUUGAUGUGAAAGCUCAGGGCUUAACCCUGAAAUGGCAUUGAAUACUGCUGUGCUGGAGGUUUGGAGGGGGGACUGGAAUUCUUGGUGUAGCAGUGAAAUGCGUAGAUAUCAAGAGGAACACCAGUGGCGAAGGCGAGGCUCUGGACAGUUCCUGACGCUGAGGCACGAAGGCCAGGGGAGCAAACGGG
This 253-nucleotide ribosomal RNA is filed under the name uncultured bacterium. RNAcentral describes it as "partial 16S ribosomal RNA". It matches the Rfam family "Bacterial small subunit ribosomal RNA", at positions 524 to 776 of the family's 1533-position model. The record is from RNAcentral.